RNAcentral lists this ribosomal RNA (256 nucleotides) under uncultured bacterium. RNAcentral describes it as "partial 16S ribosomal RNA". It matches the Rfam family "Bacterial small subunit ribosomal RNA", at positions 524 to 776 of the family's 1533-position model. The record is from RNAcentral.
UACGUAGGCAGCGAGCGUUGUUCGGAGUUACUGGGCGUAAAGGGCGCGUAGGCGGCGGGGUCAGUCGGGUGUGAAAUCUUGGGGCUUAACCCCGAAACGGCACUCGAAACUGCCCGGCUGGAGGGCCGGAGAGGAGAUCGGAAUUCACGGUGUAGCAGUGAAAUGCGUAGAGAUCGUGAGGAAGACCCGUGGCGAAGGCGGAUCUCUGGACGGCUAAAACUGACGCUGAGGCGCGAAGGCCAGGGGAGCAAACGGG